Long non-coding RNA from Tachyglossus aculeatus (Australian echidna), 236 nucleotides. RefSeq lists it as uncharacterized. NCBI's taxonomy places the organism in Eukaryota, Metazoa, Chordata, Mammalia, Monotremata, Tachyglossidae. The record is from RefSeq and is a predicted model, not a curated record. The transcript is spliced from 4 exons.
CUUCCCAAGUGCUUAGUACAGUGUUCUGCACACAAUGAGGAAAGCCUAUCCUGUUUCCAUCCCUCUGUUCCUGCUUAAACCUGAACACUCUGACAUGCCUGACAACCUUGGAAUGCAAGAUCCCACAAGAGAUGAGCAAAUUCUGCAUCAAGGCAUCCCAGUGGCUAUGUGAAACUGGAAAAUUUCCCUGAGCAGGAUCUAGGAAUGCCAAGACUUCACCUGCAGCACUACUCGGG